This is a non-coding RNA of Triticum aestivum (bread wheat), 136 nucleotides long. The record is from Rfam. Lineage: Eukaryota; Viridiplantae; Streptophyta; Magnoliopsida; Poales; Poaceae.
AAGCUACUCCCUCCGUUCCACAAUACAUGCAUCCCAUUUGUCAAAAUAUAGAUGUAUCUAGACAUGUUUUAGUAUAUAGGUACAUCCAUUUUUGAACAAAUGGAAGUCAAGUAUUUUGGAACGGAGGGAGUAGGUU